This 253-nucleotide ribosomal RNA is filed under the name uncultured bacterium. Its description in RNAcentral is "partial 16S ribosomal RNA". It matches the Rfam family "Bacterial small subunit ribosomal RNA", at positions 524 to 776 of the family's 1533-position model. The record is from RNAcentral.
UACGAAGGGGGCUAGCGUUGCUCGGAAUCACUGGGCGUAAAGGGCGCGUAGGCGGAUCUUUAAGUCGGGGGUGAAAGCCCAGGGCUCAACCCUGGAAUUGCCUUCGAUACUGAAGAUCUCGAGACCGGAAGAGGUAAGUGGAACUGCGAGUGUAGAGGUGAAAUUCGUAGAUAUUCGCAAGAACACCAGUGGCGAAGGCGGCUCACUGGCCCGAUACUGACGCUGAGGCACGAAAGCGUGGGGAGCAAACAGG